Molecule: long non-coding RNA, 3652 nt
Filed under: Solanum melongena (eggplant)
Lineage: Eukaryota; Viridiplantae; Streptophyta; Magnoliopsida; Solanales; Solanaceae
Description: long non-coding RNA (SMEL_LNC000131)
Source: RNAcentral
CCAUUGUUACCGGUUCUUCUCGCGGAAUCGGCAAAGCAAUUGCACUUCAUUUGGCCUCACUUGGUGCUAAACUCGUCAUCAACUAUUCCUCCAACUCCACUCAAGCAGACGACGUCGUAUCCCAGAUCAAUUCCACCUCCGGUUCCCCACGUGCCAUUGCCGUCAAGGCCAAUAUCUCAGAUCCAGAUCAAGUGAAAUCCCUCUUUGACGCUGCUGAAUCGGCUUUUCAAUCGCCGGUCAACAUCCUGGUGAACUCCGCCGGGGUACUCGACGGAAAAUACCCGUCAAUCCUAAACACAACCCUAGAGGAUUUCGACAGGACUUUUGAUGUAAACGCUCGUGGAGCUUUUGUGUGCUGCAAGGAAGGUGCUAAGAGAAUCAAACACGGCGGAGGAGGGAGGAUUAUAUGCUUAUCGACGUCCUUAGCAGCGGCGUUUAGACCUGGAUACGGAGCGUACAUCGCUUCAAAAGCGGCCGUGGAAGCAAUGGUGAAGAUACUGGCGAAGGAACUGAAAGGGACAGGAAUAACGGUGAAUUGUGUGGCGCCGGGACCCAUAGCGACGGAAUUGUUCUACGAAGGGAAAACAGAGGCCAUGAUAAAGAGGGUGAUUGAUGAUUGUCCACAUGGAAGACUUGGCCUGCCGGAGGAUAUCGCGCCGGUGGUUGGGUUUUUGGCCGGCGACGCUUCUGAAUGGGUUAAUGGACAGAUCAUUCGUGUCAAUGGCGGCUUCAUCUAAUUUAUUUAUUUAUUUUGCCAAGAGUUAUGUUUUACCUGCAGUUUUUCUAUUGUGACAUCUAUUUGAUUUUGUUUCAUUUUCCGUUAUUAUAAAAUAUAAUAUAAAAUAAUAAUCAAUAUACGUGAAAAUUCCUCUAAACUUGAAACGAGAACUUACUUUAGCAUUUAAAUUAUAUGAGUGUUUAUAUAUUUCUUAAUAUUUUUUGUGUGAAUUAUUUUUAAUCCUCUGAACAACAACUCAAUUAAAGGCUGGGUAUUGUUACACAUGCACGUUUUUAAUGAUUCACGUCCCUAAGAAUUUAAAAAAAAUAUUAGUUGUUUUAUAUAAUCCACUCGUUCUCAAAAUACAAUCCGAUCCAUUUCUAAACAAAUAUUCCUUAUAAAUCUCUAAGCCCGAUUCUCAUUCUUUCAAAUCUACAAGAACUAAUGUAAAAAAUUUUCUUUCGUUAGCUUGAAGGAUUUGCUGAGUUUAGAAUUUUCGUGAAGAAACAAAGAAUUUCCAAAAUCUUUUAUUCAAGAAGUAACGACAAUCUUGAAAAACUGAAAGUAAGGAAACAAAAUCAAAAUAAUAGAUGAAGAAGAAUAAGUUUGAAUCUUACAUUUUGAAGAACAAUAUUCUUUCAAAGAUUCAACUUUCAGGUUUGAAGAGCAUAGAUUUUAGAAAAAUUAAGAAAAAUAUAAUAAAUUAGGUCACCAUUUUUUGGAUGAUUGGGUUGGUGAGGGAGAAGAGAUAAUUAGGAUUCUUAUAAAAGCGAAGAUUGUUCUUCAAAUGGGUAAUGGGAUGGAUAUUACCGUUGGGGGGACAAAUUUAAUUUUUUAAAAAUGUUGAAAGAUGACAAAUGCGUCGUUCUAAGCUGUAACAACAUACGCACAAGGCUAGUGUUCGAAGAAUUGAAAAUAGUUCACAUCAAAUAUGUUAAAGGGUAUAUAAACACUCAUAGAAUUUAAGUACUAAAGUAAAUUUUCGUGUCAAAUUUAGAGAGAAAAAUCAAUUUGCGAGCAUUGUUUUACUUCCUAAAUCCUAAUUAACAUAACUAAAAUUCAACAAUGCAUUAAACAUGCUUAACGUUGAUAACGAUUACUCAUGAAAAUAAAUCAAGCAUUCAAAUUCAAUCACCAUUGUAUUUGGGAGAUCACAUGUAAUUGAAGUAAUUUACACAAUUUCAAGUUCAUGCAUAUCAUAAUGGAUAGAAUCAUGUUUUUUGAAGAAGCGAAAACAUAAGUAUUAAAAAACAUUGUAAAUAAAUAAAUCAUAGUAACAAGAUGGAUGUCUAUCAAUUUUACUCACAUUAUAAAUAAUUGAUGUGAAAAAUUAGCAUGUCAUUCCACAAAAGAGUGGUGUUCAAUAAUUUGUAACACCACAAAAGAGUGGUGUUACAAAUAUUAAAAUAAUGUUCUUAUCAUAUUAAUUGAAAUAGUACUGCAGAAAAGAAGACCAAUAAUAUAUCAGAUUUUAUUUUAAAAUAUGAAUUUUUAAAGACAAUAGAUGAUCAAAAUUGCAAGAACCACAAUUUCAUGCUAAUUUUUAUGAUUUUGUUUUAUGUUUAUAAAUAUGUAAUUUCUGAAUUGUAUUUAAGAGCUAAUUUUGCUGUUUGGAGUUUUAUCUAUUUUCAAAUCAUCAUUUUCAUUUUCUUAAAUAUAUUUGUUUACUUUAUUUAUCAUUUUUAACUUAGUCCAAAAUAUAAAUAAAUACUGAAUUUAUGACUUUCUAUAUUACUUUUUUUUAAUCAUUUGUUAAAAGUUUUAUAUUUGUGAUAAGAUUAACUUAUGUUUUAGUUAUUUCUUUAAAUUUGAAUAUGUUUCUUUCCCAAAUAUAGCAGACAUAUGAAGUAUCUCCAUUUAAAAUUUUUGUCCUACAGUGUCGAGCGAUUUAUUUGACUAUGACCAAAAUUAAAACCGAUUUUCAAGUUUGACUAUCUCUUUCAUUAGGAAAAAAUCUAAAAUAGUUUUAAUCUUUCGGUUAAGCCUCAAAGUCUUUCUUAAACUUUUAUAUCAUGAUCCUUCAUAUAUUGUAAUAUUCAUACAUAUUUUAUUCUUUCUCAAACUUCGGCCUAUUUUUAAAUAUUCAUUUUAUCUAUAAUUUUAUGUGUAGAACGUUAAAAUUUUUUAAAAAUAUUUUUUAUAGAAAUAAUACUCAAUGUAAGAGAAGGUGUGAAGAAAAUCUUAUUUUGUUUGAUAGUAAUAUUAAUACGGCUAAACCGAAAACACUUUAACAUUUGACUUUGCAAGAAAAGAAAAAAUAUACAAUUGCAUGUGACGACCAUAAAUAAAUCUCUCAAUUUUAACAGUAAAAAUGUACAAUAAAAUAAGAUGUUCCUUUCUCUAUAUGAAGCUAUUAUUUCUACUAAAUGUAUAAAAAAAAUUAAAAAAAAAUCUAUACAUAAAUUAUGAAUAAAAAUAAUAUUACAAAAUAAGAAAGAAUUUUGAAAAUGACCUAAAAUGUAAACAUGAGGAUUUAUAAUUAUUCGCGUGAGAAUUCAAAUAUGAUUUUAAUUCUUAAUUAAAGAUAAAGAGACUAUUUUGAACUUUUUCUCCUCUUUUAAUUAUUUGUUAUGAGUAUUAAAUGUUAUCACACAUUUAGCACCACACCAGUACUUUUCGUUUGUUUAUCCACAAAAUUCCAUUUUCUAGCAAUUUCAGUGCUUUUCUUCAGUGAUCAUGGCGGAAACAAACGUAGCCCAAGGCCAAAGCCUCGGGAAUCGUGUAGCCAUUGUUACCGGCUCUUCUCGCGGAAUCGGCAAAGCAAUUGCUCUUCACUUGGCCUCUCUCGGAGCUAAACUCGUCAUCAACUACACUUCCAACUCUACUCAAGCUGACGACGUCGUAUCCCAAAUCAAUUCCACCUCCGAUUCCCCACGCGCAAUCGCCGUCAAAGCCAAUGUCUCCGAUCCAAAUCAAGUCAAAUCCCUCUUCGAC